RNAcentral lists this ribosomal RNA (377 nucleotides) under Telmatobacter sp. RNAcentral's name for it is "bacterial SSU rRNA". It matches the Rfam family "Bacterial small subunit ribosomal RNA", at positions 486 to 861 of the family's 1533-position model. Lineage: Bacteria; Pseudomonadati; Acidobacteriota; Terriglobia; Terriglobales; Acidobacteriaceae. The record is from RNAcentral.
AGAAGCCCCGGCUAACUUCGUGCCAGCAGCCGCGGUAAUACGAGGGGGGCGAGCGUUGUUCGGAAUUAUUGGGCGUAAAGGGUGCGUAGGCGGUUUGGUAAGUCUUGUGUGAAAUCUAUGGGCUCAACUCAUAGACUGCACGAGAAACUGCCGGGCUUGAGUGUGGGAGAGGUGAGUGGAAUUCCUGGUGUAGCGGUGAAAUGCGUAGAUAUCAGGAGGAACACCUGUGGCGAAAGCGGCUCACUGGACCACAACUGACGCUGAUGCACGAAAGCUAGGGGAGCAAACAGGAUUAGAUACCCUGGUAGUCCUAGCCCUAAACGAUGACUGCUUGGUGUGACGGGUACCCAAUCCCGCCGUGCCGUAGCUAACGCGUU